This 23-nucleotide microRNA is filed under the name Tribolium castaneum (red flour beetle). Its description in RNAcentral is "tca-miR-3825-5p". The record is from miRBase by way of RNAcentral. Lineage: Eukaryota; Metazoa; Arthropoda; Insecta; Coleoptera; Tenebrionidae.
UGUUUUCUUCUUCUGCACUAUUU